RNAcentral lists this ribosomal RNA (533 nucleotides) under uncultured Methanolinea sp. RNAcentral describes it as "bacterial SSU rRNA". It matches the Rfam family "Archaeal small subunit ribosomal RNA", at positions 83 to 622 of the family's 1478-position model. Lineage: Archaea; Methanobacteriati; Methanobacteriota; Methanomicrobia; Methanomicrobiales; Methanoregulaceae. The record is from RNAcentral.
GCACUGUUCAGUAACACGUGGAUAACCUACCCUCAGGAGGGGGAUAACCCGGGAAACUGGGGAUAAUACCCCAUAGAUCAGGGACGCUGGAAUGCCCCCUGAUUCAAAGGUCCGCCGCCUGAGGAUGGGUCUGCGGCCGAUUAGGUUGUUGUUGGGGUAACGGCCCAACAAGCCAUUGAUCGGUACGGGUUGUGAGAGCAAGAGCCCGGAGAUGGAUUCUGAGACACGAAUCCAGGCCCUACGGGGCGCAGCAGGCGCGAAAACUUUACAAUGCGAGAAAUCGUGAUAAGGGAACCCCGAGUGCCCGUAAAUUCGGGCUGUCCGCCAGUGUAAAUAACUGGUGAAGAAAGGGCCGGGCAAGACCGGUGCCAGCCGCCGCGGUAAUACCGGCGGCUCGAGUGGUGGCCACUAUUACUGGGCUUAAAGCGUCCGUAGCUGGAUUGUUAAGUCUCUUGGGAAAUCCACCGGCUCAACCGAUGGGCGUCCAGGAGAAACUGGCAAUCUAGGGACCGGGAGAGGUGAGAGGUACUCCA